Molecule: ribosomal RNA, 497 nt
Filed under: uncultured bacterium
Lineage: Bacteria
Description: partial 16S ribosomal RNA
Rfam family: Bacterial small subunit ribosomal RNA
Source: RNAcentral
UAUGAACGCUGGCGGCGUGCCUAAUACAUGCAAGUCGAGCGAACGGACGAGAAGCUUGCUUCUCUGAUGUUAGCGGCGGACGGGUGAGUAACACGUGGAUAACCUACCUAUAAGACUGGGAUAACUUCGGGAAACCGGAGCUAAUACCGGAUGAUAUUUUGAACCGCAUGGUUCAAAAGUGAAAGACGGUCUUGCUGUCACGUAUAGAUGGAUCCGCGCUGCAUUAGCUAGUUGGUAAGGUAACGGCUUACCAAGGCAACGAUGCAUAGCCGACCUGAGAGGGUGAUCGGCCACACUGGAACUGAGACACGGUCCAGACUCCUACGGGAGGCAGCAGUAGGGAAUCUUCCGCAAUGGGCGAAAGCCUGACGGAGCAACGCCGCGUGAGUGAUGAAGGUCUUCGGAUCGUAAAACUCUGUUAUUAGGGAAGAACAUAUGUGUAAGUAACUGUGCACAUCUUGACGGUACCUAAUCAGAAAGCCACGGCUAACUACGUG